This 1713-nucleotide long non-coding RNA is filed under the name Stylophora pistillata. RNAcentral's name for it is "uncharacterized LOC111325366". Lineage: Eukaryota; Metazoa; Cnidaria; Anthozoa; Scleractinia; Pocilloporidae. The record is from RNAcentral.
GCCAUAUUGAAAAUAACGCUACCACAUUGCAAUGCAAUCAGAGUGCGCACACCGCCUGGAUUUGGUUAUUGUGCAGCACUUCAGAGUAAUCGACAAAGAGGCGGUUUGCUUUCACAGAAGCUUUGGCUCCCUGACAAAUCGAGAUUAGGAUGCAACAUUCCCCACGGAGCUCCGUAGGUUUAUCCUGAGAACGCGCGAGAAGUGUCAGGUGUCAUGGCUUUAGAUGAAGACACGUCUUCAUUGAUACCAAACGGCGAUACACAAAAUAGAAGCGAACACUCUCCCCUCCGCUGGAUUCUCAAAAUGUCGUACUCAUUUCUCUUGGUUGCUGAAAUAGCUGCUGUUGGUUUUUAUAUUUACGACUACUGGACAAUUGUGUCACCUAUUUUCUCAUCUAAAAAGGAAACUGUAGUGCCAAGAAAUAGUUCUGAAGUCAAUCUAAAGGAUGCUGGCCUCUUUUUAAACAUGACACCGAGAUAUUCCAUAUCACUUAUCACCUUGAAUUCUCUUGACACCUUGAAUUGUUGGAUUUUUCUUGGAGUAAUAGUUAUUUCAUCGCAAUUUAUAGACUGCUGCACAAUGAUGAAAAACCUGAUUCGUUUACCAAGAUUCUGGACCUUGUUAUUUUGUUUUUUUCUCACCCUCCUAGGUAACAUAAUUGAAAUUAUUUCACCUUACAUAUUUUUGUACAAAUUUGCAUUUACACCUGAGGUUUCUGUUACGUUCGUUAUAAGUGCUUUGUCAGAGACGAUUAUGUUAGGAGCACUCAAUCAGACGAAAAUUUGUGAUCUGGUACAAGGUGAAAAAUCCUUGAUAUUUAAGGGAGCUCUGUCUGUCUUUUUUGUUCGAUUGCUUGCUAAUCUGAUUGUUACUACAUUUCAUCUGGCUGUAAUUUUAUGUGUUCUUGCUGGAGCAAAGGACACAUUUAGGAAGGAAAGAGGCGCCAUUACAAACAGUGUCAGUAUGUUUUUAUACCUGCCAUUCUACAAAAAAGGAACUGGACUCCUUUGGAGCAAAAUAUUGCGUGAUGAUAGGCAUAUCAUCGGCAAGAUUUAGGAUACAGAGAUAGCUGACAAUGGUAGACCACCGUUAAUCGGCCUUCAUUAUUGUAACCCCUGGUUAAGAGUAAACCGUAAUGUCUUUCAGGAUGUCUAAUCAGGAAUGAUAGAUUGACAUAGAUUCCUUGUAAAGUCUUUGUAUCACCUAUGAAAAUAUAAACCACAACAUCAGUUUAGGCACAUUGCGACUAUUCGCUCGAAUUAAUCCUCACAUGCCUUCUUAGAAAUUAGCAGUCGUGACAAAUUAAGUCUCCUGGUUGAUAAAUAAAUGAAUAAACGAUUAGCAUGCCAUUUUGUAGACUCAAGGCAUUGUCGGGAUUGAAUUACCAUUUGAUUGAUUAAGAAAUCAGCAAAGUCAGUCACCUGAUCAGCAAUGUGCGUAAUGUGUUAUAUUCGUAAGAACAAAUUAGUUUGGGCGGAAGUUCCAGAUUUGACGCAGUUUCGAUUUGAUUUACAAAACAGUCAGGCAGAUCUUGAUCAACGAGAUAUAUUGCCAUCGUUGAGGGUCCCCAAUAGGUUUUUCGGGAUCCGGGAUUUGGCUUAUUCGAAGGCCGGGAUUCGAGAUUUUGAAGGAAAAGGGGGACGAGAUUCGGGAUUGUAGUUAUGACCAGGACACGGGAUUUGACGAUUUUAACAGGCGGGAAUCGGGAAAGGU